RNAcentral lists this ribosomal RNA (252 nucleotides) under uncultured bacterium. RNAcentral's name for it is "partial 16S ribosomal RNA". It matches the Rfam family "Bacterial small subunit ribosomal RNA", at positions 524 to 776 of the family's 1533-position model. The record is from RNAcentral.
UACGUAGGUCCCGAGCGUUGUCCGGAUUUAUUGGCCGUAAAGCGAGCGCAGGUGGUUUAUUAAGUCUGGUGUAAAAGGCAGUGGCUCAACCAUUGUAUGCAUUGGAAACUGGUAGACUUGAGUGCAGGAGAGGAGAGUGGAAUUCCAUGUGUAGCGGUGAAAUGCGUAGAUAUAUGGAGGAACACCGGUGGCGAAAGCGGCUCUCUGGCCUGUAACUGACACUGAGGCUCGAAAGCGUGGGGAGCAAACAGG